This is a non-coding RNA of Pelobates cultripes (western spadefoot toad), 232 nucleotides long. The record is from the annotation of a GenBank genome assembly. Lineage: Eukaryota; Metazoa; Chordata; Amphibia; Anura; Pelobatidae.
ACACAAGAACCCUGUAUUUCAGUUUCCCAACAGUUGUGUGUUUUUCAUCCUCUACAUAUCUUAGAAGUCACCCAGGACCUCCACACCUUUAAUGUUAUUCAACUCCAUCCAAAUUCAAAUGGAGAUCCAGCUCCAACUUUUGUAAAAAAAACAAAAAACAUCUGUCUCUGCCUCAAAACCUGCAUACGGGGUUGUGGAGGGAAGCUGCAAUUCUUUCAUGGAGACCCAAGAC